This 598-nucleotide ribosomal RNA is filed under the name uncultured Actinomycetes bacterium. RNAcentral's name for it is "bacterial SSU rRNA". It matches the Rfam family "Bacterial small subunit ribosomal RNA", at positions 90 to 703 of the family's 1533-position model. The record is from RNAcentral. Lineage: Bacteria; Bacillati; Actinomycetota; Actinomycetes.
CUCGAGUGGCGAACGGGUGAGUAACACGUGGGUGAUCUGCCCUGUACUUUGGGAUAAGCCUGGGAAACUGGGUCUAAUACCGAAUAUGACCACUUCUUGGAUGGGGUGGUGGAAAGCUUUUGCGGUAUGGGAUGAGCUCGCGGCCUAUCAGCUUGUUGGUGGGGUAAUGGCCUACCAAGGCGUCGACGGGUAGCCGGCCUGAGAGGGUGUACGGCCACAUUGGGACUGAGAUACGGCCCAGACUCCUACGGGAGGCAGCAGUGGGGAAUAUUGCACAAUGGGCGCAAGCCUGAUGCAGCGACGCCGCGUGGGGGAUGACGGCCUUCGGGUUGUAAACUCCUUUCGCAACCGACGAAGCUUUUGUGACGGUAGGUUGAGAAGAAGCACCGGCUAACUACGUGCCAGCAGCCGCGGUAAUACGUAGGGUGCGAGCGUUGUCCGGAAUUACUGGGCGUAAAGAGCUCGUAGGUGGUUUGUCGCGUCGUUUGUGGAAUACCGCAGCUUAACUGCGGGGUUGCAGGCGAUACGGGCAUAACUUGAGUGCUGUAGGGGAGACUGGAAUUCCUGGUGUAGCGGUGGAAUGCGCAGAUAUCAGGAG